UACGAGAGCCUCGAGCGUUAUCCGGAAUUAUUGGGCGUAAAGGGUGCGUAGGUGGCUGUGUUAGUCGUGUGUUAAAUACCUGGGCUCAACCUAGGAAAGGCAUGCGAAACGGCACAGCUUGAAUAUGUGAGAGGUGUACAGAACUUUAGGUGUAGGGGUGAAAUCCGUUGAUAUCUAAGGGAAUACCAAAUGCGAAGGCAGUACACUGGCACAUUAUUGACACUCAAGCACGAAAGCGUGGGUAGCGAAU
RNAcentral lists this ribosomal RNA (250 nucleotides) under uncultured bacterium. RNAcentral describes it as "partial 16S ribosomal RNA". It matches the Rfam family "Bacterial small subunit ribosomal RNA", at positions 524 to 773 of the family's 1533-position model. The record is from RNAcentral.